This 72-nucleotide transfer RNA is filed under the name Camelus bactrianus (Bactrian camel). It matches the Rfam family "tRNA". Rfam says of the family: Transfer RNA (tRNA) molecules are approximately 80 nucleotides in length. Their secondary structure includes four short double-helical elements and three loops (D, anti-codon, and T loops). Further hydrogen bonds mediate the characteristic L-shaped molecular structure. tRNAs have two regions of fundamental functional importance: the anti-codon, which is responsible for specific mRNA codon recognition, and the 3' end, to which the tRNAs corresponding amino acid is attached (by aminoacyl-tRNA synthetases). tRNAs cope with the degeneracy of the genetic code in two manners: having more than one tRNA (with a specific anti-codon) for a particular amino acid; and 'wobble' base-pairing, i.e. permitting non-standard base-pairing at the 3rd anti-codon position. Lineage: Eukaryota; Metazoa; Chordata; Mammalia; Artiodactyla; Camelidae. The record is from Rfam by way of RNAcentral. RNAcentral also lists the same sequence under 1 other name.
GAAGGUAUAACCCAGUGGAAGAGUGUGUGCUUAGUAUGCAUGUGGUCCUAGGUUCAAUGCUCAGUACUUCCA